RNAcentral lists this ribosomal RNA (559 nucleotides) under uncultured bacterium. RNAcentral describes it as "partial 16S ribosomal RNA". It matches the Rfam family "Bacterial small subunit ribosomal RNA", at positions 355 to 1375 of the family's 1533-position model. The record is from RNAcentral.
UGGGGAAUAUUGGACAAUGGGCGCAAGCCUGAUCCAGCCAUGCCGCGUGAGUGAUGAAGGCCCUAGGGUUGUAAAGCUCUUUCAGCGAGGAGGAUAAUGACGUUACUCGCAGAAGAAGCCCCGGCUAACUUCGUGCCAGCAGCCGCGGUAAUACGAAGGGGGCUAGCGUUGUUCGGAAUCACUGGGCGUAAAGCGCACGUAGGCGGACUUUUAAGUCAGGGGUGAAAUCCCGGGGCUCAACCUCGGAACUGCCUUUGAUACUGGAAGUCUGGAGUCCGAGAGAGGUGAGUGGAACUCCGAGUGUAGAGGUGAAAUUCGUAGAUAUUCGGAAGAACACCAGUGGCGAAGGCGGCUCACUGGCUCGGUACUGACGCUGAGGUGCGAAAGCGUGGGGAGCAAACAGGAUUAGACACCCUGGUAGUCCACGCCGUAAACGAUGGAAGCUAGCCGUCAGGGUGCAUGCAUCUUGGUGGCGCAGUUAACGCAUUAAGCUUCCGCCUGGGGAGUACGGUCGCAAGAUUAAAACUCAAAUGAAUUGACGGGGUCAUAGCUGUUUCCU